GAUGAACGCUGGCGGCGUGCCUAAUACAUGCAAGUCGAGCGAACAGACGAGGAGCUUGCUCCUCUGACGUUAGCGGCGGACGGGUGAGUAACACGUGGAUAACCUACCUAUAAGACUGGGAUAACUUCGGGAAACCGGAGCUAAUACAGGAUAAUAUAUUGAACCGCAUGGUUCAAUAGUGAAAGACGGUUUUGCUGUCACUUAUAGAUGGAUCCGCGCCGCAUUAGCUAGUUGGUAAGGUAACGGCUUACCAAGGCAACGAUGCGUAGCCGACCUGAGAGGGUGAUCGGCCACACUGGAACUGAGACACGGUCCAGACUCCUACGGGAGGCAGCAGUAGGGAAUCUUCCGCAAUGGGCGAAAGCUUGACGGAGCAACGCCGCGUGAGUGAUGAAGGUCUUCGGAUCGUAAAACUCUGUUAUUAGGGAAGAACAAAUGUGUAAGUAACUAUGCACGUCUUGACGGUACCUAAUCAGAAAGCCACGGCUAACUACGUG
This 497-nucleotide ribosomal RNA is filed under the name uncultured bacterium. Its description in RNAcentral is "partial 16S ribosomal RNA". It matches the Rfam family "Bacterial small subunit ribosomal RNA", at positions 28 to 507 of the family's 1533-position model. The record is from RNAcentral.